This 706-nucleotide ribosomal RNA is filed under the name Mesobacillus subterraneus. RNAcentral's name for it is "bacterial SSU rRNA". It matches the Rfam family "Bacterial small subunit ribosomal RNA", at positions 61 to 750 of the family's 1533-position model. Lineage: Bacteria; Bacillati; Bacillota; Bacilli; Caryophanales; Bacillaceae. The record is from RNAcentral.
GUCGAGCGGAUCUUCAUUAGCUUGCUUUUGAAGAUCAGCGGCGGACGGGUGAGUAACACGUGGGCAACCUGCCUGUAAGACUGGGAUAACUUCGGGAAACCGGAGCUAAUACCGGAUAAUCCUUUCCCUCUCAUGAGGGAAAGCUGAAAGACGGUUUCGGCUGUCACUUACAGAUGGGCCCGCGGCGCAUUAGCUAGUUGGUGAGGUAACGGCUCACCAAGGCGACGAUGCGUAGCCGACCUGAGAGGGUGAUCGGCCACACUGGGACUGAGACACGGCCCAGACUCCUACGGGAGGCAGCAGUAGGGAAUCUUCCGCAAUGGACGAAAGUCUGACGGAGCAACGCCGCGUGAGCGAUGAAGGCCUUCGGGUCGUAAAGCUCUGUUGUCAGGGAAGAACAAGUACCGGAGUAACUGCCGGUACCUUGACGGUACCUGACCAGAAAGCCACGGCUAACUACGUGCCAGCAGCCGCGGUAAUACGUAGGUGGCAAGCGUUGUCCGGAAUUAUUGGGCGUAAAGCGCGCGCAGGCGGUUCCUUAAGUCUGAUGUGAAAGCCCCCGGCUCAACCGGGGAGGGUCAUUGGAAACUGGGGAACUUGAGUGCAGAAGAGGAGAGCGGAAUUCCACGUGUAGCGGUGAAAUGCGUAGAGAUGUGGAGGAACACCAGUGGCGAAGGCGGCUCUCUGGUCUGUAACUGACGCUGAG